Molecule: ribosomal RNA, 467 nt
Filed under: uncultured bacterium
Lineage: Bacteria
Description: partial 16S ribosomal RNA
Rfam family: Bacterial small subunit ribosomal RNA
Source: RNAcentral
GACGAACGCUGGCGGCGUGCUUAACACAUGCAAGUCGAACGGAAAGGCUCCAGCUUGCUGGCGUACUCGAGUGGCGAACGGGUGAGUAACACGUGGGUGAUCUGCCCUGCACUUCGGGAUAAGCCUGGGAAACUGGGUCUAAUACCGGAUAGGACCGCACUUUGGUGUGUGUGGUGGAAAGGUUUUUCUGGUGUGGGAUGAGCUCGCGGCCUAUCAGUUUGUUGGUGGGGUAAUGGCCUACCAAGACGGCGACGGGUAGCCGGCCUGGGAGGGUGGACGGGCUCAUGGGGCCUGCGAUACGGCCCAGACGCCUACGGGGGGCAGCAGUGGGGAAUAUUGCACAAUGGGGGAAACCCGGAUGAAGCGGCGCCGCGUGGGGAAUGAAGGCCUUCGGGUUGUAAACUCCUUUCGCUAGGGACGAAGCUUUUUGUGACGGUACCUGGAGAAGAAGCACCGGCUACCUACGU